This 497-nucleotide ribosomal RNA is filed under the name uncultured bacterium. RNAcentral's name for it is "partial 16S ribosomal RNA". It matches the Rfam family "Bacterial small subunit ribosomal RNA", at positions 28 to 507 of the family's 1533-position model. The record is from RNAcentral.
GAUGAACGCUGGCGGCGUGCCUAAUACAUGCAAGUCGAGCGAACAGACCAGGAGUUUGCUCCUCUGACGUUAGCGGCGGACGGGUGAGUAACAUGUGUAUAACCUCCCUAUAAGACUGGGAUAAUUUCGGCAAACCGGAGCUAAUACCGGAUAAUUUAUUGCACCGCAUUGGUCAAUAGUUAAAGACGGUUUUUCUGUCACUAAUAGAUGGAUCCGCGCCCCAUUAGCUAGUGGGUGAGGGAACGGCUUAGCAAGGCAACGAUGCGUAGCCGACCUCGGCGGGUGGUUAGCGACACUGGAAGUGAGACUCGGACCAGACACCUACGGGAGGGCGCAGUAGAGAAUCUUCCGCGAUGGACGAGAGUGUAACAGAGCAACACGGCGAGAGUGCUGAAGGACUUCGGCUCGUAAAGCUAUGUUGUCCGUGAAGAACAAAUGUGUAAGUAACUAUGCACGUCUUGACGGUACCGGAUGAAUAAGCCACGGCUAACUACGUG